CGUGCGCAUGGAGGAUCGAGCAAAAUAAAAGACAUAGAAUAGACGGCCAUGCCAGUGCAGGCAACGCCGCUCCACCAAGGAGGCGUGUCUCCCUAAUGCACAUAAAAACGCUCGAGAAGGGCGGAAGCAACAGUGCCCUUCUCUCUUGCCUUCCCCCUCCCCGUCGUCACUGAACACACAGACGGGCAUGGAGGCCCUCGCACCCACUUCCACCAGCAGCGAGGCCAGCAAAGCGCCCGCGUACUUCUCUCCCCACUUAGCGGUAGCCAUGCGCUCCCUCCUACACGAAGCUCAGCGAAAAUAGAGGUGUCCAGCACAUGCAGCGGCCUUAUCACGGAGCAUCGUAUACACGUUCUCUUCCGUCUCUUCGUUGACGCAUCUGAUUACUGCCUUGGCUUCUUUGCAUCGAUUCUUCGCGUGUGUGCGCAAGUCAUACCCAGCCCAUCUUCCGAUUAUGCACAGGUUUUAGCCACCUGUUCCUUUCUGCUGCCCUUGCCGUUUGUGCGACCGCCGCCUUGAGUUAUCAGCCUUGACUCCUCGGGUGUCUUUCUUGCUUGUCCGUUUUGGGCGACGCUUUCCAGACAGGUGUUGAGCCGCGGCCGGUGCUCCGCGGCUGUGGCCGUGGCGAUUGCCGCGUGCGUCUUCGCUGGCCUGGCUCCGCUUUUUUACGAAUGCGUGUAUACUUGCAGCAAGCACACACACAUCUGCUGUUGGGUUUCUGUGAGUGCACUGUUGUUUCCAAAGCUUCCACAUCGCCUCCUCAGUACGCGUUUCUCCUCCGCCUCUUUUUUUUUUUCGUUUCCGCUUCGCCCUUCUUCUGUCUCUGCUGACAGGGGGGGGGACAUUUCAGUGCGCCGUAUCUGAGGGUGCAGUACACCCCCCGCCCCCUAGCCCUGCCAAAUGCCGGGCCACCUCUGGUGGUGACAGGGCCUAGUGCCUACGACGUAGGGGAAGGCCCGAGCGAUGCAUCACUGCUGAUGUCGGCGGUGAGGGGCUGGAUGGCGCUGCGUCGGACCGACCUGCGACCGUGCACACGCUUGCGCCAUCCACGUGAUGGGCAGAGCGUCCGCGUGACUCGAGCGUGUACCGCACCCCCGGCCCUCGCACUGCUCAGUGGUGUGGGGCGGCGGAGCGCCACCGCGAGUGUGUGUGUGUGCAGCACGUAGGGACCGACAUGAUGUGGGAGCGGCUGUGAGGCGGCCUGCGAGGCAGGAUGGGUGGGCGGACAGAGCUUGAGGGCAGUGGGGCCGUUCUCCGAUGACUGAGUGGGCGCAUGGCUGUAACAGCAUCUCCACGGCUGCCUGGCGCGACGCGAUGUGGGGCCAGAUACAGUUGUGUUGGGACAGAGUUCAGCGGUUGCUUUAUGACAGAGAGUGUGGAAGUUGCUGAGAAGAACGAAGUUUUUUCUACGUUUCCCUGUAGGCUUGGCCCGCGCUGGUGAAUGAUUCUGCUAUGAACAUACCCCCAAUCGUAACACAAGCAUAGUAUACGCUCACAUCUUAAGUUGCACGCUCUCAUGCCUCUGCGACAGAAAGCCUGGCGCAGGUCACUGAAAGUUUCCGUUUUUUUUUUUUGGCUGUGGCUCUUGUGCGCGGCUUUGGCGACCCUGCGUGCCUCGCAUCAGCCUUACCACUGAACACAUGUGUCUCUGCCUCUGUCAACCUCUAUCCCUAUUGCCUCUUCUUUCUCGGAUCGGCAUGCUGUCCUCUGGUGCCUUGCUGUAUGUCUACUUAUGUGUGCGUUCCUCUUACCGCCGCCGCUUGCUCGCUUCGGGUCACCACGCAG
This 1785-nucleotide unclassified non-coding RNA is filed under the name Leishmania donovani. RNAcentral's name for it is "gene:unknown". The record is from RNAcentral. Lineage: Eukaryota; Euglenozoa; Kinetoplastea; Trypanosomatida; Trypanosomatidae.